GUGCUCCCUUUGGCAGCAUAUAUACUAAAAUUGGAAUGAUACAGAGAAAAUUAGCCUGGCCUCUGAGCAAGAAUGACACACAAAUUCAUGAAACAUUCCAUAUAUAA
Molecule: small nuclear RNA, 107 nt
Organism: Rhinopithecus bieti (black snub-nosed monkey)
Lineage: Eukaryota; Metazoa; Chordata; Mammalia; Primates; Cercopithecidae
Source: Ensembl